AAAAGAAUAUUAUAGUAUUCGUAUAUGCUUGAAAAUAAGGUUCAAGUGUCUCUACUAGGAAACCGUAAAUAUCCUAACUACGAAGAAAAGUAUU
RNAcentral lists this non-coding RNA (94 nucleotides) under uncultured Clostridium sp. RNAcentral describes it as "Purine riboswitch". It matches the Rfam family "Purine riboswitch aptamer". Rfam says of the family: Riboswitches are metabolite binding domains within certain messenger RNAs that serve as precision sensors for their corresponding targets. Allosteric rearrangement of mRNA structure is mediated by ligand binding, and this results in modulation of gene expression. The record is from RNAcentral. Lineage: Bacteria; Bacillati; Bacillota; Clostridia; Eubacteriales; Clostridiaceae.